CCGGUGAGGUGGAUCGUCGUCUAUAAAUACCCUGUAGAACCGAAUGUGUGUGCAGCUGACUUGAUCACAGAUUGGGUUCUAGGGGAGUCUAUGGGCGAUGAAUAAUCACUGA
RNAcentral lists this microRNA precursor (112 nucleotides) under Takifugu rubripes (torafugu). Its description in RNAcentral is "microRNA fru-mir-10d precursor". Its record names the gene fru-mir-10d. The stretch from base 21 to 95 matches the Rfam family "mir-10 microRNA precursor family". Rfam says of the family: In this case the mature sequence comes from the 5' arm of the precursor. Lineage: Eukaryota; Metazoa; Chordata; Actinopteri; Tetraodontiformes; Tetraodontidae. The record is from miRBase by way of RNAcentral.